This is a non-coding RNA of Coniochaeta sp. 2T2.1, 100 nucleotides long. NCBI's taxonomy places the organism in Eukaryota, Fungi, Ascomycota, Sordariomycetes, Coniochaetales, Coniochaetaceae. The record is from the annotation of a GenBank genome assembly.
GGUUCCUUGGUCUAGAGGUAUGAUUCUCGCUUAGGGUACACCCUAUACAUCUAAAGCUUCGGCUUGCGAGAGGUCCCGGGUUCAAUUCCCGGAGGAACCC